This is a long non-coding RNA of Echinops telfairi (small Madagascar hedgehog), 2139 nucleotides long. RefSeq lists it as uncharacterized. NCBI's taxonomy places the organism in Eukaryota, Metazoa, Chordata, Mammalia, Afrosoricida, Tenrecidae. The record is from RefSeq and is a predicted model, not a curated record. The transcript is spliced from 3 exons.
UCUGGUGGGGUCUCGGCUGCUCUCCGCUCCUCCCCGUCCUCGUCUCCCGGGGUCCGGGGGCCCCCGCCCGGGGCUCUUGCCCACGGAGCUGCCAGCACAAUCUUCCAAAAGCACGGGUCUGCUCGCCCUGCUUCCUCUAGAGUCAGACCCUGGAGCCCUUACAACAAAGUGGACGGAUGACACCAAUUGGGAAAACCGCGUGGGAGCCACAUAGGAUGUCCGCGUGCUCCUGAGGCAGCUUGCCACCAGGCAGGCGUAGCCUCACUCCCUCACUCGGUGCCCUCUUCUGACAGCUGCCCUCCCGUGGUUCUCUAGCCUGUGGCGGGGUUCCCUCGCUUGUCGCGGUGUCCGCGCAGCACUCAGAUGGGGGUUACCAGAGAAGCUAAAGGUUACAGCCAGGUAAGAAAGGGUCUGGACACAGUUGCUCAGUCAGGCAGUGUCUUCCUGCUGUGCUGGCAGACAGGCCUCUCUGCUCAACUCCUCGGCCUGACCUCUGUCCUGCACAGGGAGUGUUACGAAGUUCUUCCAGGACCGCCACUAAAUGCCCAAAGGGCAUGUCACACCACCGUUAGCCCCAACUGUUACUCCACGUGUCAGUAAACCCAGCUCCCCCAGUUAAGUGCCUAGAGGUGCCCCACUCCACAAGCCCACUUGCUUUCUCAAAAGCACUCAGCCUGACUUGCUCUGUGGGCUGGGGAGUCCUCUGCUCUGUCAUGCGCUGGCUGCUGUGCUAGCAUUAGAAGGAUCUCUUGUAUGACCAGGCUUCUUGUGUAGGGGUCUCAGGGUCCAAGUGCCGUGCUCCUCUCCUGGCUCUUCUUUCUUGCUGGUAGUGAGAUCCACACUCCUGGUUCUGAGAUGCCUCCUCUUACACCUAGCAGGAUGGCAGGCAGUCACAGUGUACCAUCAGUACACCACGGGGAGGCCCCCAUCCCCACCCCCCUUCAGACCCAGCAGGAAAGCAAAGGUUUAGUGGGAGUAACAAAACCAUGUUCCCAGAGCCUGAUCACCCAGCAGCAGGUCAGCAUUCAACACAGCCCUUUACACCAGCAGAAAAGUCCCCAACGUGGAACUCUCAGGCCUUGGUGUUCAAUGCAGGGGACUGAAGACCCCGUGACACUCCGUGUGAAAGGUGGCCCCCAUUCAGACAGCCGCAGCCCCUUCCCAUCCUCCUCUCCGCUUACCUCACUGUCUCGGGCUUACCGCUUCUGGUCUCUAGCCAAGUUAGGUCCCCCUGGUGCGGACCCUCACUGCCAUCGCGUGUCUGUGCGUCCUUGCUGCUGCCUGGCUGACGGUCAGUAAAAGCAAGUGUGAGAACCGAUGUGGAGAGGACAGCGCCUGAUCGGCCCUUCCUGAGGCCGAUCGUCUUGGGAAGCAGUGUGAGACUGGCCUCGUCCUCCUCUGCGCCCUCUGCUCAUUCUGACCCGCUCCAUCCCUCCCAAGGCAUGUGCUCAUCUGCUGGGUUACAGGCCAUCCUGUCAAUUGUGCGUUUUACUGGGCAAGUUAACAGGCUGUAAUUCCAGAUGAGAAAUGUUCACGACACCGUGCUUCAUGUCAGCCCCACCUGCGGGCCCGUCUUUGACUUGAGGUUCCUGCCCUGCUCUGGCAGUGGGCAGAGCUCGUAGGGCUGCUGCUAAGUGCCCAGGGAGCACGUCCUUGAGCUUGAAGGCACUUGGUGGGACUCCUGUGAGUCAGCACACUCAACCUCUGUCCCUGCCUCUGUUGGCUCUGCCGCUGCUGCUGCCCCACCUUUCCACCCCUGGAUAUCGGGAUAAGCUUCCGUGCGCCGGGAUCUCAGGGUCCAGAGGGCCUGCUCCAGCCUGGCUCAUCUUUCUCAGUAGGGAGUCCCCCCCUGCAUGCUCCUGAGAUGGUGGUGAUAGGUGCCGUCCUGGAGUGGUUGUGUGGACGAUAGUACAAAGCACCAGCUGGCCCUGCACCAGUCUCAAGGUUGCUCUAUUGUUGGGGCCUCUGUGCCCAGCCACCUGGCCAAGGGCCUUGCCUUUCCCACUGCCCCUGCACUUUGCCAAGCUUGUCCUCCCCCAGGGCUGGCCUCAGGUGGCUGUUCACGGUUAACAACCCCGUGAACCCUGCUAAGAGUAAGAGAACUGAGUCCCCUAACUGCCAUCAUCUUACCUAGCACCG